Molecule: ribosomal RNA, 497 nt
Filed under: uncultured bacterium
Lineage: Bacteria
Description: partial 16S ribosomal RNA
Rfam family: Bacterial small subunit ribosomal RNA
Source: RNAcentral
GAUGAACGCUGGCGGCGUGCCUAAUACAUGCAAGUCGAGCGAACAGACGAGUAGCUUGCUCCUCUGACGUUAGCGGCGGACGGGUGAGUAACACGUGGAUAACCUACCUAUAAGACUGGGAUAACUUCGGGAAACCGGCGCUAAUACCGGAUAAUAUAUUGAACCGCAUGGUUCAAUAGUGAAAGACGGUUUUGCUGUCACUUAUCGAUGUAUCCGCGCCGCAUUAGCUUGUUGGGAAGGUAACGCCUUACCAAGUCAACGAUGGGUAGCCGACCUGGGAGGGGGAUCGGCCACACUGGAAGUGAGACACGGUCCAGACUCCUACGGGAGGCAGCAGUAGGGAAUGGGCGGCAAUGGGCGAAAGCCUGACGGAGCAACGCCGCGUGAGUGAUGAAGGUCUUCGGAGCGUAAAACUCGGUUAUUAGGGAAGAACAAAUGUGUAAGUAACUAUGCACGUCGUGACGGUACCUAAACAGAAAGCCACGGCUAACUACGUG